This 453-nucleotide ribosomal RNA is filed under the name uncultured bacterium. RNAcentral describes it as "bacterial SSU rRNA". It matches the Rfam family "Bacterial small subunit ribosomal RNA", at positions 29 to 524 of the family's 1533-position model. The record is from RNAcentral.
AGCGAACGCUGGCGGCAGGCUUAACACAUGCAAGUCGAACGGGCGUAGCAAUACGUCAGUGGCAGACGGGUGAGUAACGCGUGGGAACGUACCUUUUGGUUCGGAACAACCCAGGGAAACUUGGGCUAAUACCGGAUAAGCCCUUACGGGGAAAGAUUUAUCGCCGAAAGAUCGGCCCGCGUCUGAUUAGCUAGUUGGUGAGGUAACGGCUCACCAAGGCAACGAUCAGUAGCUGGUCUGAGAGGAUGAUCAGCCACAUUGGGACUGAGACACGGCCCAAACUCCUACGGGAGGCAGCAGUGGGGAAUAUUGGACAAUGGGCGGCAAGCCUGAUCCAGCCAUGCCGCGUGAGUGAUGAAGGCCCUAGGGUUGUAAAGCUCUUUUGUGCGGGAAGAUAAUGACGGUACCGCAAGAAUAAGCCCCGGCUAACUUCGUGCCAGCCGCCGCUGUAAU